RNAcentral lists this unclassified non-coding RNA (234 nucleotides) under rhizosphere metagenome. Its description in RNAcentral is "partial ribosomal RNA internal transcribed spacer region". The record is from RNAcentral.
GUAGGUGAACCUGCGGAAGGAUCAUUACCGAGUUAGGGUCUUUGGCCCGACCUCCAACCCUUUGUGUACCUACCUUUGUUGCUUUGGCGGGCCGCCGGGCUACUACAGCUCGCACCUGGACCUCUGAGGCCCGUGAGAGCCCGCCAGAAGCCUUUUUAAAACUUCAUGUAUGGUUGCAGUCUGAGUAGACGUUUAAUCUAGUUAAAACUUUCAACAACGGAUCUCUUGGUUCUG